Molecule: ribosomal RNA, 116 nt
Filed under: Phreatobacter sp. AB_2022a
Lineage: Bacteria; Pseudomonadati; Pseudomonadota; Alphaproteobacteria; Hyphomicrobiales; Phreatobacteraceae
Source: RNAcentral
CCUGGUGGUUGUUGCGAGGAGUAAAGAACCCGAUCCCAUCCCGAACUCGGCCGUUAAACUCCUCAGCGCCGAUGGUACUAUGUCUCAAGACCUGGGAGAGUAGGUCGCUGCCAGGC